CUUUACCAGACACUCAGGCUCAUCAGUGGUCCAGGGUAGACGCUGAGCAACUGGUAUGCGUUUCUUUUCUUCUUCAUUUAACAUCUCUUUUAACUUCCUCUGGAAUUCCUCUUCUUUUAAUCUACCUCUGUUCUGUUUGGCCAUCAAACAAAACAAAACACAUGAAUUCUAUGAUGAUGAUGGUCAUCAUGAAUUUAAACCCUGAUAUUAUUACCUCUUUUCGUAGUUUGAAUGGAUUCUGUUUGGUCACUUUUAGAUUCAUAUUCCUCUUCGAAGCUUUUUCCAGGCUCUAGAAAGAUAGAUAAAAGAGCAGAAGAGUGGUUCAAAAUUCAAAAACCCUUUAAUGGUUUAGAGUUUAGAAUUUAAGAUUUAGAAUUCUUACUUUGGAACUCCCCACCAAACCCGAAACUGAAACUCCUUCCACCUCAUCAUCAUCAUCAUUCUAUUCUAAUAUUCAUUUUUAAUUUUUUAUUCAUUUUCAGAUUUCAUUUCCUAAACAGUCUACUUAUUCAAUAGACUCAAUGUCUAAUGUACAUGGGAAUGAUGAAGGUAAUGUUAAUUUUUUUGUGGCAUAAAUUAAUGUUCUUAUUCUUAUAUUAAUUUAUGUUUCUGAUAUUAAUUUAUAUUUCUGAUUUUAAUUUAUUCUUAAACAGGUGUUCAAUGGACGAUGGUUAACCUGUUCGAUAUCUCUAUGGAUGAUUGGAUGAUCUGGAAAUUAUAAAAUGAAGCUUAGAAUAUGUUAAAAAUUUAAAUUAUGUUGGAUUGAUUGUUAAGUACUAUUUUUAAAUUAUGUUGGAUGGAUACUUGUUAUGUUAAAUUGUGUUGGAUACUUGGAUUUAAUAUUUACAGUUUUUUUU
RNAcentral lists this long non-coding RNA (857 nucleotides) under Zostera marina. RNAcentral describes it as "long non-coding RNA (ZMAR_LNC003752)". The record is from RNAcentral. Lineage: Eukaryota; Viridiplantae; Streptophyta; Magnoliopsida; Alismatales; Zosteraceae.